RNAcentral lists this ribosomal RNA (1037 nucleotides) under Escherichia coli. RNAcentral's name for it is "bacterial SSU rRNA". It matches the Rfam family "Bacterial small subunit ribosomal RNA", at positions 1 to 1027 of the family's 1533-position model. Lineage: Bacteria; Pseudomonadati; Pseudomonadota; Gammaproteobacteria; Enterobacterales; Enterobacteriaceae. The record is from RNAcentral.
AAAUUGAAGAGUUUGAUCAUGGCUCAGAUUGAACGCUGGCGGCAGGCCUAACACAUGCAAGUCGAACGGUAACAGGAAACAGCUUGCUGUUUCGCUGACGAGUGGCGGACGGGUGAGUAAUGUCUGGGAAACUGCCUGAUGGAGGGGGAUAACUACUGGAAACGGUAGCUAAUACCGCAUAACGUCGCAAGACCAAAGAGGGGGACCCUCGGGCCUCUUGCCAUCGGAUGUGCCCAGAUGGGAUUAGCUUGUUGGUGGGGUAACGGCUCACCAAGGCGACGAUCCCUAGCUGGUCUGAGAGGAUGACCAGCCACACUGGAACUGAGACACGGUCCAGACUCCUACGGGAGGCAGCAGUGGGGAAUAUUGCACAAUGGGCGCAAGCCUGAUGCAGCCAUGCCGCGUGUAUGAAGAAGGCCUUCGGGUUGUAAAGUACUUUCAGCGGGGAGGAAGGGAGUAAAGUUAAUACCUUUGCUCAUUGACGUUACCCGCAGAAGAAGCACCGGCUAACUCCGUGCCAGCAGCCGCGGUAAUACGGAGGGUGCAAGCGUUAAUCGGAAUUACUGGGCGUAAAGCGCACGCAGGCGGUUUGUUAAGUCAGAUGUGAAAUCCCCGGGCUCAACCUGGGAACUGCAUCUGAUACUGGCAAGCUUGAGUCUCGUAGAGGGGGGUAGAAUUCCAGGUGUAGCGGUGAAAUGCGUAGAGAUCUGGAGGAAUACCGGUGGCGAAGGCGGCCCCCUGGACGAAGACUGACGCUCAGGUGCGAAAGCGUGGGUAGCAAACAGGAUUAGAUACCCUGGUAGUCCACGCCGUAAACGAUGUCGACUUGGAGGUUGUGCCCUUGAGGCGUGGCUUCCGGAGCUAACGCGUUAAGUCGACCGCCUGGGGAGUACGGCCGCAAGGUUAAAACUCAAAUGAAUUGACGGGGGCCCGCACAAGCGGUGGAGCAUGUGGUUUAAUUCGAUGCAACGCGAAGAACCUUACCUGGUCUUGACAUCCACGGAAGUUUUCAGAGAUGAGAAUGUGCCUUCGGGAAC